Molecule: RNA transcript, 736 nt
Organism: Anas platyrhynchos (mallard)
Lineage: Eukaryota; Metazoa; Chordata; Aves; Anseriformes; Anatidae
Gene: LYRM4
Gene name: LYR motif containing 4
Source: RefSeq, a predicted model, not a curated record
GACAGGCGGCCCGGGCGGGAGGAGCCGCCCGCUGUCGGCAACAUGGCAGCGGCCAGCCGGGCCCAGGUGCUGCGGCUCUACCGGGCCCUGCUGCGGGAGAGCCAGCGCUUCGGCGGAUACAACUACAGAACAUAUGCCAUCAGAAGGAUAAGAGAUGCCUUCAGAGAAAACAAGAAUAUAACGGAUUCUGAAAAAAUAGAAGAACUAGUGAAUAAAGCAAAAGCAAACCUAGAGAUUAUUCAUCGGCAGGCUACAUGACAUCCUUCGUUGUCAAAAGGCUGAUUCUUUGCUGUACUAUGACAUCCCUAUGUUUAGCAUACUAGUGAGAGACAGUCCUGAAUUCUUGUAGACCAAGUUAUGGGAAGUCAGGUUACUAUUGGCCAACUGUAUUCCACGCAGAAAUUGGUUAUCGAGAGUCCAGGAAACACAUAGCUAUGAGAAGACUGAUCCUGAAGCAACACUGGACCAUCUUCAGCAUCUUACAGUGCCACAUACAGAUGCAUAACGUCACUGCAUGUCUGAGCUUUUCUGUUCAGCAGAAGAAAUGUCUGAGAGACUCAGUUUUUGGCAACCAAAGUGCUAUUUUCUUAUGUUUCACACAUUCUAAAAUGUAUUGCUGUGAUUUACAAUAGCAUGUAAGGUAGUCUUGAAAUCUGUUUGCUUGUAUGUCCUAUGUGAUAAAAUAGUUCCUGUCCUAAUUUGGCAAUAAAAGUUCAUUAAACUACCUGUAACCGGA